AAUGAACGCUGGCGGCAUGCCUAACACAUGCAAGUCGAACGAAACCAUCGGGUCUAGUCGCGCACGGGGGCGUAGCGCGUGGGAACAUGCCCUUAGGUUUGGCAUAACUCUCCGAAAGGGGUGCUAAUACGGGAUAAUGUCUUCGGACCAAAGAUUUAUCGCCUUUGGAGGGGCUCACGUUGGAUUAGCUAGUUGGUGGGGUAAAAGACUACCAAGGCGACGAUCCGUAACUGGUCAGAGAGGAGGAUCAGCCACACUGGGACGGAGACACGGCCCAGACUCCUACGGUAGGCAGCAGUGGGGAAUCUUACACGAUGGGCGAAAGCCUGAUCCAGCCCUGCCGCGUGAGUGAUGAAGGUCUUCUGAUGGUAAAGCACUUUAAGUCUGGAGGAAGGACAGUAAGUUUAUCCCGGACUGUUUUGACGUUACCAACAGAAUAAGCUCCGGCUAACUCCGUG
This 458-nucleotide ribosomal RNA is filed under the name uncultured bacterium. Its description in RNAcentral is "partial 16S ribosomal RNA". It matches the Rfam family "Bacterial small subunit ribosomal RNA", at positions 29 to 507 of the family's 1533-position model. The record is from RNAcentral.